This is a long non-coding RNA of Coturnix japonica (Japanese quail), 1173 nucleotides long. RefSeq lists it as uncharacterized. NCBI's taxonomy places the organism in Eukaryota, Metazoa, Chordata, Aves, Galliformes, Phasianidae. The record is from RefSeq and is a predicted model, not a curated record.
GCCGAGCCCAUGGAUGCGGGGGGUCUCCAGCACCUCCUCCUCACGUUUAUAAAGAUGCACUCUGCCGGUGCCUCCCUUCGUCUAAGAAGAUACUCGGGGGGGGUCGCGUGAAUUUAUGCCGGUGAUGAUUACACGUUCUCUAUCAGCUUCUCACGUGGUUUGGUGGCUGUUUCUAUUCUAACUCCAGGAUACGGAGCUCGAGAACGGCUGCACCUGAUCAGCGACGCGCAGCCCUGACUCGGCGCCCGGACGACCCCGCACGGCUACAAAACGGAACGCUGUAUAAAAACAGAACCGCAGGACGCGGAACCGACGAAGCCCCGAGGCUGUGCAUAUUAAGAGCCAUAUUUGUGGGACAGUGGAUUUGCUCUGAAGACACAGAGUGCUCUCUGAAAUCCUGACAGAACAGCUGCUGGAAAGGACAGAUGAUGAGGAACCUACUUCAGACAAGAGGCUACCUGCAGAACAGCAAAAGCCAGCCUGUGCCAAGAGCCAUUUACUCACUGCCUUGGACUGCAGAGGGCAUCAUGCUGGAUACCAGCAGGCUCAGCAGCCUACUUCAUUCUGUGCUAUCACCAGAUAAAACACACCUGCUGCUUGCUGUGCUGGGAAUAGAAAUGGAGCUAUGGUAGGUAAAGGCUACAAACUACUUACCUUCAAAGGUCCAGCUUUCGUGACAACAUCUUCUGGUUGAGCUUGUUUGUCAGAAAGAAACUUAUCUGUUGCAAUAAUCUACAGAGCAUAUUCUUCUGUACCUGCAAAAAGAGAUCCACCUGCAGCACUGGCACCUCAACAAGGAUGCCCAGUAGGGCAUCACAACCAUCAAAGACUCUGCGCACGAUUAUCACUAGCAUCACCUCUGAACAAUUUUCAGCUCCAAUGCUGUUCACUGCAGGUGGUGGCUCAAGCAUCAGUGCAAACCUGGUUAUCCCUGCAGCUCAAGUUGUUUAACUUGGGUGUAUUGGCGGUAACUAUACAGGUGUUAACAAGAAUGGCAGCUACAAGGAUAAUAGUAGAAGUACAGAAGGUAUAAGGAAGAAAAGGGAACUCACCAGUGAUGACUCUAGAAGCUGAGGCAAUCUUCACUGGCGAGCGAUCUCCAAGAGAUGCUGCCUCAGUGAGGGUCAGCCCUUAAAUAAGUUCUCAGAGGAGGUGGAGUCGAACUCCACCCCU